CCUACGGGAGGCAGCAGUGGGGAAUAUUGGACAAUGGGGGAAACCCUGAUCCAGCCAUGCCGCGUGUGUGAAGAAGGUCUUAGGAUUGUAAAGCACUUUAAGUUGGGAGGAAGAGCAGUUAACUAAUAUUUGACUGUUUUGACGUUACCGACAGAAUAAGCACCGGCUAACUUCGUGCCAGCAGCCGCGGUAAU
RNAcentral lists this ribosomal RNA (194 nucleotides) under uncultured bacterium. RNAcentral's name for it is "partial 16S ribosomal RNA". It matches the Rfam family "Bacterial small subunit ribosomal RNA", at positions 338 to 524 of the family's 1533-position model. The record is from RNAcentral.